RNAcentral lists this RNase P RNA (453 nucleotides) under Oligoflexia bacterium. RNAcentral describes it as "RNase P RNA component class A". It matches the Rfam family "Bacterial RNase P class A". Rfam says of the family: Ribonuclease P (RNase P) is a ubiquitous endoribonuclease, found in archaea, bacteria and eukarya as well as chloroplasts and mitochondria. Its best characterised activity is the generation of mature 5'-ends of tRNAs by cleaving the 5'-leader elements of precursor-tRNAs. Lineage: Bacteria; Pseudomonadati; Bdellovibrionota; Oligoflexia. The record is from RNAcentral.
GGAGUCAAGUUGACGACCGCUGCCGCAGCUUUCGAGCCGCGGUGGAGGAAAGUCGGGACUUUAUAGGGCAGGCUGGCUGCUAACGGCAGCUCCGGGUAACCGGGGGAAAGUGCCACAGAAAAUAAACCGCUCUACCCUUUUUAAGUUCUUGAGGGCCUUUUUAAGUGCUUGAGGGCUGCAGGCUCGGAGAACUUAAAAAGGGUAGAGUAAGGGUGAAACGGCAGGGUAAGAGCCUACCGGCGGUGUGGUAACACACCGGCCUGGCAAACCCCAGUCAAUGCAAGGCCGAGUAAGGAGCAUACCGGGUUGACCUCUUUGAGGUUGAACCGGAGAACGCUGCCCGCGUUCGGCAUCCGGGUGAGCCGCUUGAGCUUAAUGGCGACAUUAGGCCCAGAUGAAUGGUCGUCGGGGAGAAAUCCUCAACAGAAUCCCGCUUAUGACUUGACUCCCUUG